RNAcentral lists this ribosomal RNA (497 nucleotides) under uncultured bacterium. RNAcentral's name for it is "partial 16S ribosomal RNA". It matches the Rfam family "Bacterial small subunit ribosomal RNA", at positions 28 to 507 of the family's 1533-position model. The record is from RNAcentral.
GACGAACGCUGGCGGCGUGCCUAACACAUGCAAGUAGAACGCUGAAGAGAGGAGCUUGCUCUUCUUGGAUGAGUUGCGAACGGGUGAGUAACGCGUAGGUAACCUGCCUUGUAGCGGGGGAUAACUAUUGGAAACGAUAGCUAAUACCGCAUAACAAUGGAUGACACAUGUCAUUUAUUUGAAAGGGGCAAUUGCUCCACUACAAGAUGGACCUGCGUUGUAUUAGCUAGUAGGUGAGGUAAUGGCUCACCUAGGCGACGAUACAUAGCCGACCUGAGAGGGUGAUCGGCCACACUGGGACUGAGACACGGCCCAGACUCCUACGGGAGGCAGCAGUAGGGAAUCUUCGGCAAUGGGGGCAACCCUGACCGAGCAACGCCGCGUGAGUGAAGAAGGUUUUCGGAUCGUAAAGCUCUGUUGUAAGUCAAGAACGGGUGUGAGAGUGGAAAGUUCACACUGUGACGGUAGCUUACCAGAAAGGGACGGCUAACUACGUG